GGGCGAUUAGCUCAGGGGGAGAGCGCUUGCUUCACACGCAAGAAGUCGUAGGUUCAAAUCCUACAUCGCCCA
This 72-nucleotide transfer RNA is filed under the name Clostridiales bacterium PH28_bin88. It matches the Rfam family "tRNA". From Rfam's summary of the family: Transfer RNA (tRNA) molecules are approximately 80 nucleotides in length. Their secondary structure includes four short double-helical elements and three loops (D, anti-codon, and T loops). Lineage: Bacteria; Bacillati; Bacillota; Clostridia; Eubacteriales. The record is from Rfam by way of RNAcentral.